This 249-nucleotide ribosomal RNA is filed under the name uncultured bacterium. RNAcentral's name for it is "partial 16S ribosomal RNA". It matches the Rfam family "Bacterial small subunit ribosomal RNA", at positions 524 to 771 of the family's 1533-position model. The record is from RNAcentral.
UACGAAGGGGGCUAGCGUUGCUCGGAAUUACUGGGCGUAAAGCGCACGUAGGCGGCUUUCUAAGUCGGGGGUGAAAUCCUGGAGCUCAACUCCAGAACUGCCUUCGAUACUGGAGAGCUUGAGUCCGGGAGAGGUGAGUGGAACUGCGAGUGUAGAGGUGAAAUUCGUAGAUAUUCGCAAGAACACCAGUGGCGAAGGCGGCUCACUGGCCCGGUACUGACGCUGAGGUGCGAAAAGCGUGGGGAGCAA